Molecule: small nucleolar RNA, 107 nt
Filed under: Lachancea fermentati
Lineage: Eukaryota; Fungi; Ascomycota; Saccharomycetes; Saccharomycetales; Saccharomycetaceae
Description: Small nucleolar RNA snR48
Rfam family: Small nucleolar RNA snR48
About the family: snR48 is a member of the C/D class of snoRNA which contain the C (UGAUGA) and D (CUGA) box motifs. Most of the members of the box C/D family function in directing site-specific 2'-O-methylation of substrate RNAs.
Source: Rfam by way of RNAcentral
UUGCAAUGAUGAAUACCUUUUAGCUUUUUUUCUGGCAUCUCUAAUGUUAGGGUGGGUGUUUAAGUACUCUCCACUCGAUGAAUACAACUUUUGACAAAAACCUGAGC